Triplophysa dalaica is the source of this 1094-nucleotide long non-coding RNA. RefSeq lists it as uncharacterized. The transcript is spliced from 3 exons. The record is from RefSeq and is a predicted model, not a curated record. NCBI's taxonomy places the organism in Eukaryota, Metazoa, Chordata, Actinopteri, Cypriniformes, Nemacheilidae.
GUAUGUGUUAUGGCAGCUACUUAGGUUUUGUAGCUCCUCUUACAACUCUGCAUCCGAUUGGCCGGAGAAGUCUGGAACAGGUCCAGGACGGACACUGAGAUAUGACUCAGGGAAACGGCAGUGAUCCUGAAAGAUGCCAGAAAUGGUGGGACGAGCUAGAGAAAGAUAACUGAGGACGUGUCCUUUAGAUAAGGAACAACAGAGAAAUUAUAUAUUUUGACAAGGCGUUAAGCAUUCGAUUAAAAACUGUCAUCAUUAAUUCAGCUGAUUGAUUGCUUAAUAUGUUUAAAUGGUUUUGUUUAAUCUAUAUGUUUGAUUUAAACAAAACUGAGAAAGCUACGAAAGAGCAACCUGGCUAAUCUGGCUAGUUGUGACUAGCUUCUCACCAUCAAGGAAAAGAACAGCUUGGAAGGAUUGGUUGACCAAAGCUGGUUGAAAUAGUUAAGAAGACUGAUGGGUGGAUCAGCAUUCCAUUCUUGAGCCCCAACACAUGCUGGUCACCAGGUGAGGAUUGAUGGGAUAGCGGAGAGCGAUCCAUCAUCUCAGGCAGGUGGCGCCGUAUCGGAAUUUGGGAAAUCUGUUCCCAAUCACACCUACAGGCUGGCGGCCCUGUAAGAAGACCCCCACCUCCACAAGCCCAGUACACUUCCCUUCCCUCAUCCGCGUGUCAGGAGCAGAAAUCAAUGCGAGCCACUCAAGGUCAAUACACUGUUGGAGAGCUCCCUCCGAGCUUUGAUGGAUACAUCCCGCUUGAAGAGAGUCAAAGCCAGGGAGAAUUGACAGGUUUUCCGUGCGAGCUGUUAAAGGGACAGUGAGCCUCAGAUGCUUGUCAUAGCGCUUGUCUGAUGUCAUUUAGACAACAGGCAUCUCCUCAAGACAGUCUCAGCAAUGCCAAUCUUGGCCCAGGUGCACAUUGUAUUGGAAAUCUGAUCAAAGUACAGGGCGCAGCUCCUUGGCCGAUACUCUUAUGGAUUACCUGAAAGUCACCUUGGUUUGAUUGGUCUGGGUGUUUGAAUUGCAUUCAGCUUGACAGCUUGAGACUCCUUCUUCAGUCCUUUCGAAACUCAACAGCUUUAGAAUCAUAAAGCGACAAC